This 4192-nucleotide unclassified non-coding RNA is filed under the name Venturia canescens. RNAcentral describes it as "serine/threonine-protein kinase 11-interacting protein, transcript variant X5". Lineage: Eukaryota; Metazoa; Arthropoda; Insecta; Hymenoptera; Ichneumonidae. The record is from RNAcentral.
CAAGAUGUUUUGUUUCUUUGUGAUGCAAUCUGAUUUCGUUGCAGCUUGGGAUCUUUCUGAGGCGUUCAGAUUCUAAUGAUCUGUCAUUCUCAAAUGAUCGCGAUAGCAGAGAUAGCAACGUGAAUGUGCAUUUAUCCUGUUAAAUGUGGAACACUCAAAUAAUGAGAUCAACAACAGUUGUUUUAAAAUGUUAGAACUAUAUAUUAAAUGGAGCUUCGUAGUGUAUGAAUGACGUGUUUUCAUUUCAUUUGUGUUAAAAUUAAUAGACUUAUAUAAUAACAAUACAGAAAGUAUCUACAUCGCGUUAUUGUGACAGUGAAUAUUUCGGUAACUUUCCUGAUUAAUGCAAAAAUAUAUAGCGAACAUAGUGACGGAAAAAAAUGGUAUAUUCGUUGAUUGUCUGCCCUGCACAAGGUCACGUCAGCACGAUGUAUUUUUAAUUUUGCUGCGGAAAAGAAGAAAUUCUCAAAGUCAAGAAUGACGUUUAACGACGGUUAACACUGAAUCAGCUGCUCGAACGGAUAGAACACAAAUUGGUCAAUGGCGACCUCAAAUAAUCCCAAUGGGAUGGCAGGCAUGGAAGAGAUCCUAGAGCUGGCUAGAUUAUUACGAAAAAAUGGUGAUACUGUUCUUAGUGGAGCAAGCAAAUUAUCUCUUUCCACCAAACUGCUACACAAUCUCAAUGAUGCAUUUUCAAUCAUUGUCGAUGACAAGCAAGAAAUUGAUAGUUCGUUCCAAGUCUGCAACAGCUCUAAAAAUGAUGUUUUUAGAAAUAUCAAAUUCCUUCAUGAUUUUGUACAGAAGACAAUUUGGUUGAAAGUUUCUCACAACUGCAAUGAUCCACGGAUCCCUGUGGAUAUAUCAAAAUUUCGUCAGUUGAGAUUUUUGGAGCUUCGUAAAGUUUGUAUCGAUCUAGUCAGUGGAAUUCAAGGAGUAAGAGGACAAUUAGAAAGUAUUUCUUGUACUGGAGGAGGAGGUGUGGGCACUGUUGGAAGAUUGCUGGCUUCUUGUGGUCGUGAUGCUGGAGUUGGCUUUGUCUGGGCUUCUAUGAAACGUUUAGCAUUACCAUACAAUGGACUUGGGAGACUGGAUAAAUCUUUGGAACUCGCGCCAUGGCUCCAAACCUUAGAUUUGAGUCAUAAUCUUAUUAUUUCGACCAGCGAACUGGAUUGUCUCCCAAGUUUGAAAUAUGUUAAUCUUGGGUAUAAUAAACUGGAGGCAGCUCCUACCUUGAACAAGGCUACAUAUCAUACUUUGCAAAUUCUAGUAUUGAGAAAUAAUUAUAUUGAAAAUUUGAACGGCUUACAAGGUUUGGAUUGUUUGGCGGAGCUCGAUUUGUCAUAUAAUUGUCUCGACGAUCAUUCAGUUCUGUGGCCAUUGGAAACUAUGUCAGCUUUAUUAUGGGUUGCUCUUGAAGGAAAUCCUCUCGCCUACUACAAAAAACAUAGAUUGCUCACAAUCAAACAUCUUCAUUCGGCCUUAUCUGAAAGUAAACUUAUCACGUCACAUCAGUUUGUUUUAGAUCACGAGCCAUUAAGUAAAACAGAGAAAAUGUUGGUCUCGCACAACCGGACGUUCAUGAUCAGGUCUGCACCAUCGCCAUCAAAAGAUGAUCAGGCCUCGAUGACCAGUUCUAUUAUGUCCAACGUGACAUUACCAUCGGUAGAAAAUACAUAUCACAAUGAUCUAUUAAUCACUCAAAGAUCUGAUUUGAUGGAGGGUAAUGAAAGAAUGGCAACGCGCAAUAGAAAAAAGAAAUAUGUCUGUGAAGCGAUUAUAACGGAUGAGGAUACCAAGGAAAAUACGACAGAUAUGUCGUCGAGUAUUGCUUCUUCGCUCCUGGAAACUUCGGCUGAUCAUUUGGAAACAAAAAAACAAAUUCUCGCUUUGAGAGCUAAAUUCGGCGACGAGAAAUGGUUGGUCAGUGAUGCGGGUUCCUUUGUCCAAGAUAUAAUGGGUCUUGAAAGAUCCGUCGUUCCUACAUUACAAAUUGCAUCUGGUUUGGAUCCAUCAUUGCACUCAGUUGUUACGACCGUUAGUACAAAAUAUUCAACCAAUUUUUCAACUGAUUCUGCGGUUUGGAGUAACGAGUCAUCGAGCGAUGACGUUGCAACUGAGUCGGCGGUUCUCAAAGGCGAUGAAGUUGAGCGCGAAGAGAACGAUAUCAUUGUUGACGAAUCAGAGGGUGACAAAACUAUCAAUAUUAAAGACCAAAUAGAGUCUCUAAAAGUCACUGAACCGCUCUAUGACCCGGGGGAAGAGACGGGAGAAUUAUAUUUGGUCCAGCAAAAAUCGAACAGCGAAGAGAUGCAAACAUUUUUCUUAGUCAUAACACCGGAAGAAAUUAAAGAAAUCGAUUGGAUCACUGGACGCUUGAGAUACAGGUGGUCAACUGACACUGUAUUGUCGUGUGUCAUGGGACGUGGCGAGACUCCAACAAUUGAUUUUAUAUUCGAUACUACGCGAAAGGAUCGACAAAAUCGAACCUACUUCGUCGAGAAAGAAGACGCUCCGAAAAUCGUUAAAACUGUGGGUGACUUGAUAAAAGUUCGUCCCAUAUUACUGAAAGUUUUCAAAUGCAUGAAAUGUUCGACGCAUUUUUCACAAGACCCGGAUUACGUGACUGGAGUGACAACAACUACAAUAUCCAGUAUAAAACCCCCGAAAUGUCCAACUUGUAGGAGUACGUUAGUAAUACAAACCGAUGAACUCUUGACUCCAGACGUCGAAGAUGCAAAAAAAGAUUUUGAAAAAUCGCCUUCGAAAAGUCACACUGAUGAAAAUACUGUUCAAGGAAAUUUACAGCAUUCCGGAUCGCAUUCUAGCAUCGGUGGAACAGAGGGCGGACCUAUGCUCGUCACCACUUCUUUGGUGCAAUACGACUCUCGCCCCCAAGCUCAAGUCAGCUGUUCAGCAACGAGUCUUGAGGAAUCACGUGAAUCAACGCCCUCGGCGAGUACAGUCACAAAACGUUAUGAGAGUGAUAUUGAGAUAUUGAGUAAUCCAAGUCAAAGUAGUAUCGAGGUAUUGGACGAUGGAACAAAAGCGAGUUCGACGCCGAAUAGAAAACGAUCGUCGGAAGAGAGACGCGUUGCGAUUGCUCCCACCCUCUUAACAAUUCCAGACACAGCUCCUGUUAUGACGGGCUUAACAGAAAGUAGCUCUUCAGGAUCAUUGACUGACAGUAUUUGUACGGCUUACGAGAAUAAAGCCUUGAGGACACCCGGAAUAGCGAGCAAACGGAACGAUAAAAAAAUGUUAUCUGGCUGUGAAACCCCAACAAAUUCUGAACCAUCAAAAAUCGCUACAUCGACAACACCUGUAGGAAAUCUGACUUCGAUGCUCGGAGGAUUGCUUCAGAGCAUGAAAAUUGUUACGCCCAAAAGUACUCCGACCAAGCCCGAGGAAGCAACGGAUUUUUUAGAAACCGAUAUAGAAUAUUCGUAUGAUGACUUUGGAAGUGUCGAUCACAGAAUAAAAUUGCAUCUGGUAUUGAACGUUUUCGAACAGGAGAACGAAAAAUUCCGCAUGCUUUUGAGGGCUCAAAUGAUCAUGCAAGAUUCGACAGAACCUUUCCAAGGAUGUCUUGUUUUGUCAAACUGCAAAGUGUACGUGCUCAAGAUAAUCGGUCCAGAGAGUGGUGAUCCUCAGCGCUGGUUGAGCAAGGAAAUGAGUUGGACGCACGACAAAUUGCGAUGUAUUGCUCCCUUACCCUUCAAACAAGGUGUGCUAGUGGAGUUAGUAAAACGCAAUGUACCCAAAGAAGAUCCAAUCGAAAUAGAUAUCGUAUGCAUACUUCAAGAUUUCAAAAGAACUUCGAACCUUCUCUACUACCUAACGGACUUAGGUCUACCUUUCCAGUGUCAAUUGGAUUCGACAGCACCAUCUCACUACAAAAGAGUUUUACUGGAUUCGAUGGAUUUGUCUUCGAACUGGAAAUCCUGGGAGAUUCGGCGAUUUUACUCACAGGCGAAAAGGUCCAAUGGCUUUUGCCGAUAAGCGAAGAAAAGCCACAGAUUAUCGCGGAACACGCCAUAAGCAACUUGAUUGAAGUGGGACACCGUCGUUGUCUCCUCGAUUUGAGUUUUAUCGAUGAAGUUGGUGGAGUUGAGGAUAUAUGGAGGCUCGUAUUUGUAUCAUCGGAUGCUGCCAAAGCUGUAAUCAAUGCGAUCGAGGCACCUUGGGAAAAGUU